UACGUAGGUGGCAAGCGUUGUCCGGAUUUACUGGGCGUAAAGAGCGCGCAGGCGGUCGUUCAAGUCGCGUGUGAAAGCCCCCGGCUCAACUGGGGAGGGUCACGCGAUACUGAUCGACUCGAAGGCAGGAGAGGGUAGUGGAAUUCCCGGUGUAGCGGUGAAAUGCGUAGAUAUCUGGAGGAACACCGGUGGCGAAGGCGACAUCCUGGACCGGCAUUGACGCUGAGGCGCGAAAGCCAGGGGAGCAAACGGG
This 253-nucleotide ribosomal RNA is filed under the name uncultured bacterium. RNAcentral's name for it is "partial 16S ribosomal RNA". It matches the Rfam family "Bacterial small subunit ribosomal RNA", at positions 524 to 776 of the family's 1533-position model. The record is from RNAcentral.